CCUACGGGAGGCAGCAGUGAGGAAUAUUGGUCAAUGGACGAGAGUCUGAACCAGCCAAGUAGCGUGAAGGAUGACUGCCCUAUGGGUUGUAAACUUCUUUUAUAUGGGAAUAAAAUGUUUCACGUGUGGGAUUUUGUAUGUACCAUAUGAAUAAGGAUCGGCUAAGUCCGUGCCAGCAGCCGCGGUAAUACGGAGGAUCCGAGCGUUAUCCGGAUUUAUUGGGUUUAAAGGGAGCGUAGGUGGCUUCUUAAGUCAGUUGUGAAAGUUUGCGGCUCAACCGUAAAAUUGCAGUUGAAACUGGGAGUCUUGAGUGCAGUAGAGGUGGGCGGAAUUCGUGGUGUAGCGGUGAAAUGCUUAGAUAUCACGAAGAACUCCGAUUGCGAAGGCAGCUCACUGGACUGCAACUGACACUGAGGCUCGAAAGUGUGGGUAUCAAACAGGAUUAGAUACCCUUGUAGUC
This 460-nucleotide ribosomal RNA is filed under the name uncultured bacterium. Its description in RNAcentral is "partial 16S ribosomal RNA". It matches the Rfam family "Bacterial small subunit ribosomal RNA", at positions 338 to 795 of the family's 1533-position model. The record is from RNAcentral.